GCCCCGGCUAACUACGUGCCAGCAGCCGCGGUAAUACGUAGGGGGCGAGCGUUGUCCGGAAUUAUUGGGCGUAAAGAGUACGUAGGCGGUAUGAUAAGUUAGGAGUAAAAGGCACCGGCUCAACCGGCGUAAGCUUUUAAAACUGUCAUACUUGAGACAUUGAGGGGAAAGUGGAAUUUCUAGUGUAGCGGUGAAAUGCGCAGAUAUUAGGAAGAAUACCAGAGGCGAAAGCGACUUUCUAGCGAUGAUCUGACGCUGAGGUACGAAAGCGUGGGAAGCAAACAGGAUUAGAUACCCUGGUAGUCCACGCCGUAAACGAUGAGUGUUAGAUGUCCGAGGUAAACUUGGGUGUCACAAGCCAACGCGAUAAACACUCCGCCUGGGGAGUACGUACGCA
RNAcentral lists this ribosomal RNA (397 nucleotides) under uncultured bacterium. Its description in RNAcentral is "bacterial SSU rRNA". It matches the Rfam family "Bacterial small subunit ribosomal RNA", at positions 490 to 890 of the family's 1533-position model. The record is from RNAcentral.